GCAGUCGAACGGCAGCAUGAUCUAGCUUGCUAGAUUGAUGGCGAGUGGCGAACGGGUGAGUAAUACAUCGGAACGUGCCCUGUAGUGGGGGAUAACUAGUCGAAAGAUUAGCUAAUACCGCAUACGACCUGAGGGUGAAAGUGGGGGACCGCAAGGCCUCAUGCUAUAGGAGCGGCCGAUGUCUGAUUAGCUAGUUGGUGAGGUAAAGGCUCACCAAGGCGACGAUCAGUAGCUGGUCUGAGAGGACGAUCAGCCACACUGGGACUGAGACACGGCCCAGACUCCUACGGGAGGCAGCAGUGGGGAAUUUUGGACAAUGGGGGCAACCCUGAUCCAGCAAUGCCGCGUGUGUGAAGAAGGCCUUCGGGUUGUAAAGCACUUUNGUCCGGAAAGAAAUCGCACUUACUAAUAUUAGGUGUGGAUGACGGUACCGGAAGAAUAAGGACCGGCUAACUACGUGCCAGCAGCCGCGGUAAUACGUAGGGUCCAAGCGUUAAUCGGAAUUACUGGGCGUAAAGCGUGCGCAGGCGGUUGUGCAAGACCGAUGUGAAAUCCCCGGGCUUAACCUGGGAAUUGCAUUGGUGACUGCACGGCUAGAGUGUGUCAGAGGGGGGUAGAAUUCCACGUGUAGCAGUGAAAUGCGUAGAGAUGUGGAGGAAUACCGAUGGCGAAGGCAGCCCCCUGGGAUAACACUGACGCUCAUGCACGAAAGCGUGGGGAGCAAACAGGAUUAGAUACCCUGGUAGUCCACGCCCUANACGAUGUCAACUAGUUGUUGGGGAUUCAUUUCCUUAGUAACGUAGCUAACGCGUGAAGUUGACCGCCUGGGGAGUACGGUCGCAAGAUUAAAACUCAAAGGAAUUGACGGGGACCCGCACAAGCGGUGGAUGAUGUGGAUUAAUUCGAUGCAACGCGAAAAACCUUACCUACCCUUGACAUGCCACUAACGAAGCAGAGAUGCAUUAGGUGCUCGAAAGAGAAAGUGGACACAGGUGCUGCAUGGCUGUCGUCAGCUCGUGUCGUGAGAUGUUGGGUUAAGUCCCGCAACGAGCGCAACCCUUGUCUCUAGUUGCUACGAAAGGGCACUCUAGAGAGACUGCCGGUGACAAACCGGAGGAAGGUGGGGAUGACGUCAAGUCCUCAUGGCCCUUAUGGGUAGGGCUUCACACGUCAUACAAUGGUGCAUACAGAGGGUUGCCAAGCCGCGAGGUGGAGCUAAUCCCAGAAAAUGCAUCGUAGUCCGGAUCGUAGCCUGCAACUCGACUACGGAAGCUGGAAUCGCUA
Molecule: ribosomal RNA, 1284 nt
Filed under: uncultured Ralstonia sp.
Lineage: Bacteria; Pseudomonadati; Pseudomonadota; Betaproteobacteria; Burkholderiales; Burkholderiaceae
Description: bacterial SSU rRNA
Rfam family: Bacterial small subunit ribosomal RNA
Source: RNAcentral